Long non-coding RNA from Pipra filicauda (Wire-tailed manakin), 148 nucleotides. RefSeq lists it as uncharacterized. The record is from RefSeq and is a predicted model, not a curated record. The transcript is spliced from 3 exons. NCBI's taxonomy places the organism in Eukaryota, Metazoa, Chordata, Aves, Passeriformes, Pipridae.
ACCUGGCAAGGAGCUUCAGGGGAUGCCUUGAGAUACUUCACCAAAAACGAAGCUGAUUCCCUUGACUGUCAUCUUCUUAUGUUCUUGCACUGAUGCUGCCUUAAAUUCAGACUUAAACAAGGCUGUAUCUGAGGAGUUAUGUAUACAA